CUUUAAUGUUCAUAAAAAUGUUUUUAAUGUCUUCUAAUUUGGUUGUAUUUAAAUAAUCAAAAGAUCUUUCUUCAUAUCCAAGACUUUUCACUCUAGUGCAUAUAUCAGGUAUACCCGCCAUGAUAUAGACAAUUUUCUUUUCUUUUAUGCUUUUUAAUUUAGAAUAUGCGGUUUUGCCUAAAUCUUCAAGUUUUCACCAGGUUUGAUAAAUAUCUUUCUACAUGAAAUAUUUUAAAUGCAUCUUCCACG
This 249-nucleotide long non-coding RNA is filed under the name Mytilus galloprovincialis (Mediterranean mussel). Lineage: Eukaryota; Metazoa; Mollusca; Bivalvia; Mytilida; Mytilidae. The record is from RNAcentral.